GAUGAACGCUGGCGGCGUGCCUAAUACAUGCAAGUCGAGCGAACAGACGAGGAGCUUGCUCCUCUGACGUUAGCGGCGGACGGGUGAGUAACACGUGGAUAACCUACCUAUAAGACUGGGAUAACUUCGGGAAACCGGAGCUAAUACCGGAUAAUAUAUUGAACCGCAUGGUUCAAUAGUGAAAGACGGUUUUGCUGUCACUUAUAGAUGGAUCCGCGCCGCAUUAGCUAGUUGGUAAGGUAACGGCUUACCAAGGCAACGAUGCGUAGCCGACCUGAGAGGUGGUUCGCCCACCCUGAACCUGGGACCCGUCCCAGCUCCCAAGGGAAGCAAGCGUAGGGAAAUCUUCGGAAUUGGCCGAAAGCCUACGGAGCCACCCCGCGGGGGUGAUUAAAGUCUUCCGAUUCUUAAACCCUUGUAAUAGGGAAAAACAAAUUGUGUAGUAACCAAUGCCCGUUUUAACGUAACCAAUCAGAAAGCCACGGCUAACUACGUG
Molecule: ribosomal RNA, 496 nt
Filed under: uncultured bacterium
Lineage: Bacteria
Description: partial 16S ribosomal RNA
Rfam family: Bacterial small subunit ribosomal RNA
Source: RNAcentral